GGAUGAUGUUGGAUAAUUCGAUGCAACGCGAAGAACCUUACCUACCCUUGACAUGUCCGGAACUUGCCAGAGAUGGCUUGGUGCCCGAAAGGGAAUCGGAACACAGGUGCUGCAUGGCUGUCGUCAGCUCGUGUCGUGAGAUGUUGGGUUAAGUCCCGCAACGAGCGCAACCCUUAUCAUUAGUUGCUACGCAAGGGCACUCUAAUGAGACUGCCGGUGACAAACCGGAGGAAGGUGGGGAUGACGUCAAGUCCUCAUGGCCCUUAUGGGUAGGGCUUCACACGUCAUACAAUGGUCGGUACAGAGGGUUGCCAAGCCGCGAGGCGGAGCCAAUCCCACAAAGCCGAUCGUAGUCCGGAUUGUUCUCUGCAACUCGAGAGCAUGAAGUCGGAAUCGCUAGUAAUCGCAGGUCAGCAUACUGCGGUGAAUACGUUCCCGGGUCUU
RNAcentral lists this ribosomal RNA (444 nucleotides) under uncultured Thiobacillus sp. Its description in RNAcentral is "bacterial SSU rRNA". It matches the Rfam family "Bacterial small subunit ribosomal RNA", at positions 934 to 1382 of the family's 1533-position model. The record is from RNAcentral. Lineage: Bacteria; Pseudomonadati; Pseudomonadota; Betaproteobacteria; Nitrosomonadales; Thiobacillaceae.